Molecule: long non-coding RNA, 247 nt
Filed under: Salvia miltiorrhiza (redroot sage)
Lineage: Eukaryota; Viridiplantae; Streptophyta; Magnoliopsida; Lamiales; Lamiaceae
Description: long non-coding RNA (SMIL_LNC000271)
Source: RNAcentral
CGGGCAAAGUCAUUAUUAUUAUUAUUAUUUUUUAGAUCCCUCUGCAUUAUGCAAAGUUCAUCACAGAAAUUCAUCUCUUUUUUCCUUUUGUAUCAAUUGUGGAAUUUAUGUUACUCUUCAAUCAUCCUUGGAAGUAACGCAAAUUAUUUGCGCGUGCAUACGAUUGAAGCUUUGCUUCCACGCCAAGUAGUAACAAUAAUUAAUGAAAACAAAAAAAUGAAAUUAUAAUUAUACAAAAGACCUAAUU